This is a non-coding RNA of Phrynosoma platyrhinos (Desert horned lizard), 72 nucleotides long. The record is from the annotation of a GenBank genome assembly. Lineage: Eukaryota; Metazoa; Chordata; Lepidosauria; Squamata; Phrynosomatidae.
ACCUGUGUAGUGUAGUGGGUUAAGUGUUUGACUGUGACUCUGCAGACCAGGGUUCGAUUCCCAGCUCGGCCA